RNAcentral lists this ribosomal RNA (467 nucleotides) under uncultured bacterium. RNAcentral describes it as "partial 16S ribosomal RNA". It matches the Rfam family "Bacterial small subunit ribosomal RNA", at positions 29 to 507 of the family's 1533-position model. The record is from RNAcentral.
ACGAACGCUGGCGGCGUGCUUAACACAUGCAAGUCGAACGGAAAGGCCCUGCUUUUGUGGGGUGCUCGAGUGGCGAACGGGUGAGUAACACGUGAGUAACCUGCCCUUGACUUUGGGAUAACUUCAGGAAACUGGGGCUAAUACCGGAUAGGAGCUCCUGCUGCAUGGUGGGGGUUGGAAAGUUUCGGCGGUUGGGGAUGGACUCGCGGCUUACCAGCUUGUUGGUGGGGUAGUGGCUUACCAAGGCUUUGACGGGUAGCCGGCCUGAGAGGGUGACCGGCCACAUUGGGACUGAGGUACGGCCCAGACUCCUACGGGAGGCAGCAGUGGGGAAUAUUGCACAAUGGGUGGAAGCCUGAUGCAGCAACGCCGCGUGCGGGAUGACGGCCUUCGGGUUGUAAACCGCUGUCGCCUGUGACGAAGCGUGAGUGACGGUAAUGGGUAAAGAAGCACCGGCUAACUACGUG